CCUACGGGAUGCAGCAGUGAGGAAUAUUGGUCAAUGGACGCAAGUCUGAACCAGCCAUGCCGCGUGCAGGAAGACGGCUCUAUGAGUUGUAAACUGCUUUUGUACGAGGGUAAACGCAGAUACGCGUAUCUGUCUGAAAGUAUCGUACGAAUAAGGAUCGGCUAACUCCGUGCCAGCAGCCGCGGUAAUACGGAGGAUUCAAGCGUUAUCCGGAUUUAUUGGGGUUAAAGGGUGCGUAGGCGGUCGGAUAAGUUAGAGGUGAAAUCCCGAGGCUCAACUUCGGAAUUGCCUCUGAUACUGUUCGGCGAGAGAGUAGUUGCGGUAGGCGGAAUGUAUGGUGUAGCGGUGAAAUGCUUAGAGAUCAUACAGAACACCGAUUGCGAAGGCAGCUUACCAAGCUACUUCUGACGUUGAGGCACGAAAGCGUGGGGAGCAAACAGGAUUAGAUACCCGGGUAGUC
This 460-nucleotide ribosomal RNA is filed under the name uncultured bacterium. Its description in RNAcentral is "partial 16S ribosomal RNA". It matches the Rfam family "Bacterial small subunit ribosomal RNA", at positions 338 to 795 of the family's 1533-position model. The record is from RNAcentral.